RNAcentral lists this non-coding RNA (60 nucleotides) under unclassified sequences. RNAcentral's name for it is "L20-Deltaproteobacteria ribosomal protein leader". It matches the Rfam family "L20-Deltaproteobacteria ribosomal protein leader". The record is from RNAcentral.
CGCCAAGAACCGCGAGGAUAGUCUCCCCUUGCGGAUCGGGCAAAUUUAAUAAUCAAGGAG